RNAcentral lists this ribosomal RNA (270 nucleotides) under uncultured bacterium. RNAcentral's name for it is "partial 16S ribosomal RNA". It matches the Rfam family "Bacterial small subunit ribosomal RNA", at positions 29 to 308 of the family's 1533-position model. The record is from RNAcentral.
AACGAACGCUGGCGGCAUGCCUAACACAUGCAAGUCGAACGCUCUUGGGACUUCGGUUUCAAGGGAGUGGCGCACGGGUGAGUAGCGCGUGGGAACCUGCCCUGUUGUGGGGGAUAACCGAGGGAAACUUCGGCUAAUACCGCAUGCGCCCGAAGGUAACUUCGGGGAAAGAUUUAUCGCAGCAGGAGGGGCCCGCGUCGGAUUAGCUAGUUGGUGGGGUAACGGCCCACCAAGGCGAUGAUCCGUAGCUGGUCUGAGAGGAUGAUCAGC